GUCAGAGGGUGCAAACGUUGUUCGGAUUUACUGGGCGUAAAGCGCGUGUAGGCGGCUUUGCAAGUCGGAUGUGAAAGCCCACGGCUCAACCGUGGAAGUGCAUCCGAAACUGCAUGGCUUGAGUCUCGGAGAGGAAGGUGGAAUGCUUGGUGUAGAGGUGAAAUUCGUAGAUAUCAAGCAGAACACCUGCGGCGAAGGCGGCCUUCUGGACGAUGACUGACGCUGAGACGCGAAAGCGUGGGGAGCAAACAGG
Molecule: ribosomal RNA, 253 nt
Filed under: uncultured bacterium
Lineage: Bacteria
Description: partial 16S ribosomal RNA
Rfam family: Bacterial small subunit ribosomal RNA
Source: RNAcentral